AAAAAUUCCUAGAAUCAUUAACUUUUUUAAAUCUUUGCCUAAGAAAAAAAACAGUAUACAAGACAUAUUGAAGAAAUUUGAAAAUGAUGAUGAAACUUGCAAUGAACUGUUCUUAGUCAUAUCUCUGCUUUUGGAGUACGUUAAUUGAAAAAGGGAAGCAAUUUUUAUUUCAGUUGACAUAAGUAUUUAUCAUAUAUUUUUCUAUAAUUUUUUUGUACAUAUUGGGCAAAUCUCUUAAUUUCAGACAUCUUCCUAUAGUCAAACACAAUAAGAUAAAAUAUUUGCAGUUAUUGACUUACCUUUUUUUUAUUUCCAAAGACAAUACAAAAAAGAACAACAGUAAGGCUAAAGAUGUACCAAAAAAAAAAAACUAGAAAUUUUAGAUCACAAACGAUGACCGACGUCAUUGCCUCAUUAAAAGUAAUCUUUUUCGCAAUACAAUGACUCCUCAAAAUCGCUAUGAAGUGGUGAGCUCGAUUCACUGGCCUUAACGAAUCAAGCAAAUAAAAAUUAUAAAGAGAGCAGUUUGGAUGUUCUCCUAGACAGUCAUUACUACCAUAAGGCAGAAUUUAGCAACAGUUGCGCAACAUGAGUUGAGAAUGGACAAAAAACUGUCAAUUCUCUGCAACAUAAUUUGUUUAAUAUACAGCUUUACAGAAUGGAAAGAUAUUUCCUUCCUCCCAAAGUAAUGAGCUUGUUCGUUCUCAUAAAUUCUACAGUUGCCAGGUAUCCACUGGUGUGCAACCCGCUUCUUUUUUAGGACCAAUCUUUGCAAGUAAUCUCGACAUUGAAGGAUUUCAUUCGAUGAAGAAGCGCUAUUUGAACUAAUGACCUGGAUUGCUGCUUGAAAAUCAGAGAAUAGAACCACUUUCUAAAA
Molecule: non-coding RNA, 877 nt
Organism: Parasteatoda tepidariorum (common house spider)
Lineage: Eukaryota; Metazoa; Arthropoda; Arachnida; Araneae; Theridiidae
Source: RefSeq, a predicted model, not a curated record